AUUGAAUGCAUGAGAUUUAUCGAGUGUCAGUGCAGUCAGUGGGCUGCAUGUCACCAGAUGCUGUCAAACUGGGGCUAUUGUUCUCAUGAGCUUAGGCCAGUGUAAAUAGAUUGAAUGUGUAUCAUUGUCUCUCUCCACAAGCUGAGGACCUGACCUGACCUGACCAGACCAGAAAAAGAGCUAUAAGGAGAAUGUAACCCUCUAAGAAUUAAUUUAUUCUAUUGAUUUAAAUGCAUUACAUAGGCACACCUUUGCACACAUAUAAGUCCAGAUUCCUCACUUUCCCAAAUAGUAAAUACUGUAACUGCACUUACAUAAAGCAAGCAUAACUGGAAAGCAGAAGACCUAAACUGCUCAAUUUACAGUUGUAUCUAUUUUUGCUGGCUUUCUAAAAAGCAAAGCAAAUCUUUUCAGACUAUGGUCUCGGGUCAUUGAUGUUAUACAAAGAGGUGAGUAUGCACCAAUCAGUGGGCAGUCUGUAGCUGCCAUCUGGUGGGUAAAUGUAAAAAUUACAUAAGGAAAAUAAAUACUUCCAUCUCUCGACCAUGCUUUUUAAAACUGCAUUUGAAAAGAAUAUGUAUGUAUUAUCAAUUUCUUUUAUUUAGGGGUUAGUAACAUUAGGGGUUAGUAACAUUAGGGGUUAGUAACAUUUAGGGGUUAGUACAAGAUAUUCCGAGAGUCAUUAUCUACAUAAGCAAAUUGUCAGGAAUUUAAUUCUCCUAUUUUACCUUUUGCUUCCAGAAAUCAUCAAUUAUUGUGUUCUCCCUCCCUGUCCCUCACGUAACUUAUGCUCUGAAGAAUAGCUCUAAAAAGAUUUACUAUAAUAUGCUCUAAAAAGUAGUUGCAUAUAGAAGAGCAAAAGAUUCUCAUAUGUUCCUCAUCCUUUGUCUAGCAGAACACCAGCUCUGCAGGCACAUCCCUAGAUCCUAGAGAAUCUAAACAGUAUUGUCAGACAAUAACAGUAGGUGUUGAUUGGUUGUGAUGCCCAGGAGGUUCAUAUUGAGAAGGCCAAGAGUACCUCUUGGCCAAGAAGAUGGGAAGAUAUGCAUAUUUUGAGGAAGUCUAAUGACUGAGGUUUAAUAUAGGAUGCAAUUCUUUAAAACUCAGGAUGCAAUUCUAUAAAACUCGUGUAGGAUAGAUUGCUUGCUUUCACUUCCCCAUCAAAACCCUUUCAACUUAGGGCUGUUCCAUUUACGUUUUCAAAAUAGCAUUCAUUCUCCCCAACUUCCCUAUUUCUAUGCUGCCUUUCCAAAUAACUUUGGCUUAUUCCAACAGAAGAACAAGUUGCUAUUGGAAACAUUUAUUUUUAAUCCCUUUCUGUAGGACUGUCUGAAGGAAUCGCCCUGGGGUUCAGAAUUUUGAUAUAUACAUUUUGAUAAAAUACUCAUAUAAAGCCUUCAGUCAAAUAUGUACAGUUACAGUGCCAUAUUUCACAGGUAUCCCUACAUAUGCAUAGCACUGGUCCUGCCUGAGGAUGCAGGUGUGCCCCUAUAACAAAAAUUAAUAAUACAGCGCAUGGAAUCUCACAUAUGUUGCAUAUAUGAAAAUGAAUGUAAUCUUAUUCCAAUGAUCACAUUUAUAGUUUAGGAUGCUAAAUGUACCAAACCUUCACAGCUCCUUCUCAGCAUCCAGAAAUAUCCAUUAAGUUCUCAUCAACUUGCAUAUUUUUAGUUGUCUUUUAGCAACAAAACCUAACGUCUCCAUCAAUUUCACUGACCAUCAUCAGCUUCUGAUGGGGCAUACUGAACUGAUCACCAUAUGUACCUACUGUCAUACAUCUUUCACUUCAGUCUUCCAUGGAGGUGCAGGAAAUGUGUUUGGUUUGCAUUUCUCACAUCUGUGAAGAGAUCUUUUUUCAUGAUAAUGAUAUUCAGCAACUAAAAUAGACAUGAAUGGGACCUGAUCUCUAGUGCCUGCCAUUCACACAGAAAGAAACAAAAAGAUAGACAUGGUAGGUCUCCUCAGAAUCACUGUUUUCAUUUACCUCAUACUUGCAGGUUCAGAGGUAGAUGCAAUUUUAACUGAACCACAAAGGUGUAGGAAUUAUCAUGUUGUCCCUUAACAAGACAAGAUGUAAAGAUAUUUACAGCUGAAGUAAGUAAUCUUGUAGUGAGUGAGGGAUGGAUCCUAAAAGCUGCCAGAAUCUCAUUUCAGUCAACUUAGUUUAAUGCUUGUUUCAAGCUCCACUAGAUGCAUUUUCAACAUAAAAAAGCUCAGCAGAAGAGGGUUUUCCUUACAUUUCUGUGUAGGACAACCAAUGUGACUGAAUUCUUGAAGCGAAUUUCUUUCUUCAAACAAUAUCAAAUUCACUGACUGAACAUGGAAAAACAGAUGUUAGCACUUCCUUUUCACAUAGAGUUUCAGAGAACUGAUGACAUCUCUUUAGAGGUCAGGGCAGGAGAAUGCAUUUUUCCCCUUACACUGCAGGACUUUCACAAGAGAUUUUUUAAAGAGUUGUUUAUUUCUUGCCUUGCCUUUCUUCAGCUUCUGUCUUUAAUCUGAACUCUGUCCUUUGCUCACAUUUUUUUCUACAGCUGCAUAUCCUUUUAUUGCUCUCCCAAUUGCUUUUUUUAUCAGGAGGUUGAGUGCACUUCAAUUUGUCCUUCGCAUAGUGACCACAAAAAGUUCAGGAGUCUGAUUUACUUGUGUAUCAUUCCAAUUUCAUGCCAGUGCAGUUUCUUUUUAAAAAGACUAGUGAGCAAAACUGCUGUGGUUCAGGCCAACACUACUGAUUUGUAUGUAGCACUGAAAAUCAUUCAAGUAUUUAGGUGUCUGUUUGGGGGACAGUUCCCAGGCCACUGGGAUAUUCCUCAAGGAAAGACAUUGCUUGAAAUAUGCAGAAAAAUGGAGGAGAGGAAAAUCCUCCCCAAUUUUUACUGACAGUGGAAAUUAUGAUACAGUAAGUGGAACUUUCUCUGGUAGCAUUUCUUUUUUCUAUAUGCACACAGAGAAUAACUAUAUUUGUCAAAACAAUUUGCCUUUGCAAUAGCAGCAAUUGCCUAUACAAAGCAUUAAUUAGCUAAUAAUCUGAAAGAAGAAUGUAGACAUUAGGAAUAUUACAGUCUGGAUUUGGAAUAUUGUAGUCUUAUGACCAGGAUACUGAGCUGAGAAUUCAGAGAACUUUGUAUCUUCUACAAUGACCUCAGAUAAGUCAGAAAGACUCUGUACUUCAGACUCUGUAAAGACUAAAAGAAGUAUCAUGCAUAAAGUUUUUCAAACAAUCCAGGAAAAAUUGUGCUAAGGCCAAAUAUUCUAAUUUCUCUGUAUAAUAAAAGGAAUAAAAAGAAAUAAAGGAACAUGAAACAUUAAACCACAGAAUUAUCCCAAAUAGGAGGAAAAUUGAAAUAGACCCUGUAAACUUCUUAAGCAAGUACUUAUUUCUUACAUCUGGCCAUAAAAAUCCCACUGAGAAUUAUUAGCCUCUCAUUUCUGAGAAAAUAAAAUUCACAACAGGAAACUGUUAAAAAAAUAAGCUUCAUAUUUUGCAUUACGAUGUAAUCACACAACAAACACAAAUGUCCAUAACAGCAGUGCCUAUUUUUAACUUGUUUUUAAAAGUUGAAGUCACUAUUGAAGUGUUUUCCUGCUUCUGUCUACAUAUACUAAAUCUCUUCCAGCUGCAACAGAAAAUUUAAAAGAAUAAGCAGCUAGAAGCAGACAAAUAGCCAAAAUGCAUACAACAAUGAUAAUCACAGGAACAAAACUAUUCUGUAAAAUUCCAAAAGUACAUGCUGGCUAACUGUGGCUCACCGUCAAUAAGGAAGGUUAUUUUAAUAGGCACUAAAAUUUAAGUUUGUGCAAAUAAGAAAUAAGCAGAAACAUGAAAAAAAAAAAAAAAAAAAAAAAA
Molecule: long non-coding RNA, 3847 nt
Organism: Taeniopygia guttata (zebra finch)
Lineage: Eukaryota; Metazoa; Chordata; Aves; Passeriformes; Estrildidae
Source: Ensembl